GUUCUAACGAACAGUGGUAGGAGAGCGUUCUAAGUGCUGUGAAGUCAGACCGGAAGGACUGGUGGAGCGCUUAGAAGUGAGAAUGCCGGUAUGAGUAGCGAAAGACGGGUGAGAAUCCCGUCCACCGAAUGCCUAAGGUUUCCUGAGGAAGGCUCGUCCGCUCAGGGUUAGUCGGGACCUAAGCCGAGGCCGAAAGGCGUAGGCGAUGGACAACAGGUUGAUAUUCCUGUACCACCUCCUCACCAUUUGAGCAAUGGGGGGACGCAGGAGGAUAGGGUAAGCGCGGUAUUGGAUAUCCGCGUCCAAGCAGUUAGGCUGGGAAAUAGGCAAAUCCGUUUCCCGUGAAGGCUGAGCUGUGAUGGCGAGCGAAAUUUAGUAGCGAAGUUCCUGAUUCCACACUGCCAAGAAAAGCCUCUAGCGAGGUGAGAGGUGCCCGUACCGCAAACCGACACAGGUAGGCGAGGAGAGAAUCCUAAGGUGAUCGAGAGAACUCUCGUUAAGGAACUCGGCAAAAUGACCCCGUAACUUCGGGAGAAGGGGUGCUUCUUAGGGUGUUAAAGCCCCGAGAAGCCGCAGUGAAUAGGCCCAGGCGACUGUUUAGCAAAAACACAGGUCUCUGCGAAGCCGUAAGGCGAAGUAUAGGGGCUGACGCCUGCCCGGUGCUGGAAGGUUAAGAGGAGCGCUUAGCGUAAGCGAAGGUGCGAAUUGAAGCCCCAGUAAACGGCGGCCGUAACUAUAACGGUCCUAAGGUAGCGAAAUUCCUUGUCGGGUAAGUUCCGACCCGCACGAAAGGCGCAACGAUCUGGGCACUGUCUCAACGAGAGACUCGGUGAAAUUAUAGUACCUGUGAAGAUGCAGGUUACCCGCGACAGGACGGAAAGACCCCGUGGAGCUUUACUGCAGCCUGAUAUUGAAUGUUGGUACAGCUUGUACAGGAUAGGUAGGAGCCUUGGAAACCGGAGCGCUAGCUUCGGUGGAGGCAUCGGUGGGAUACUACCCUGGCUGUAUUGA
Molecule: ribosomal RNA, 1011 nt
Filed under: Bacillus pumilus
Lineage: Bacteria; Bacillati; Bacillota; Bacilli; Caryophanales; Bacillaceae
Description: partial 23S ribosomal RNA
Rfam family: Bacterial large subunit ribosomal RNA
Source: RNAcentral